GAGCAAGCAAGAGGACACUGGACGCAGAGAGAGAGAGAGAGAGAGGGAGACACUGGACUUUGUCCUCGCAUGGAACCUUGGCAGCAGCAUAUUCAUAUACAUGCGCUCACUCUCAGCGGGAUCCGGCCGUACAUGUGUAUCGUCUUCUUGCUUGACGGCGAUUUGGCGCAGGUUCAGGCAUAUGCCGUGAGCUUGUAGCUAGAGGGAUCGAGCUUGCAGCGGGUGGUGGUGCUGAUAAGAGGUGAGUGGCCUAAGCCGUUCCUCGUGCAUAAGGCCUUUUGCCCAAACACAAGGGAAUUGUCGCCGUUAUAUGUCACUCACUGUGUGCAUGCUUGUGUAGUAGGAGUAGUAUACGCAGGGGUGCCCGGCAGACUAGUGGUCGGUAGUGCGGCCACCACUCCGGCCCAGACAGAGCGUGUGUCCAAGAGCGCCUUUCCCCCCCGGCUCACACCGGAGUGGUGAAUCCAUCCAUCCGCCCGCUCAUCACACGGUGCGUGCCUCAAUUCUCUCCCUUGCAGGGGAGAGCAGAGCUCCGUUUCCUCUGCUCCGCGGCGACCAGCUCCGGCGGUUUGGGGGUGGCCUUGCGCCCAUGCAGCAGAUGGCCACCACCGUCACGCUGCUGCUCGGGGCAGCCUCGUCCCCAGGCCUCGCCGCCGGUGAUGGCGCCGCGCGGGACGGCUUCCAGCGCUCCCGCCUGCUGCCCAAGAAGCGGCAGCAGAGGCAACGCUGGGUGCUCUGCUCGCUCACGUACGGCUGCCUCGGCCUCGGCGAGCCGGGGGAGGCGGGCGGCCGGAGCGCGGCGUCCCCGGUGUACUCCAGCCUCACCGUCAGCCCCGGCGGCGACGCGGCCGUCGCCGUCGUCUCGUCGGAGCAGAAAGUGUACGACGUGGUGGUGAAGCAGGCGGCAUUGCUCAAGCGCCAGCUGCGCCCGCAGCAGCAGCAGGCGGCGCCGCCCGCCGUCGCCAGGGAGAUGGACGCGCCGCGCGGCGGGCUCGGGGAGGCCUACGCCCGCUGCGGCGAGAUCUGCGAGGAGUACGCCAAGACCUUCUACCUCGGGACCUUGCUGAUGACGGAGGAGCGGCGGCGCGCCAUAUGGGCCAUCUACGUGUGGUGUAGGAGGACAGACGAGCUGGUGGACGGGCCGAACGCGUCGCACAUCACGCCGCAGGCGCUGGACCGGUGGGAGAGGAGGCUGGAGGACCUCUUCGCCGGGCGCCCCUACGACAUGCUCGACGCCGCGCUCUCCGACACCAUCACCAAGUUCCCCAUAGAUAUUCAGCCCUUCAAGGACAUGAUCGACGGGAUGCGGACGGACCUUAAGAAGGCGAGGUACAAGAACUUUGACGAGCUCUACAUGUACUGCUACUAUGUUGCCGGCACCGUGGGGUUGAUGAGCGUCCCGGUGAUGGGCAUUGCGCCGGAGUCCAAGGCGACAGCCGAGAGCGUCUAUGGCGCCGCUCUGGCUCUUGGCCUCGCGAACCAGCUCACCAACAUACUCAGGGAUGUUGGAGAAGAUGCAAGAAGAGGGAGGAUAUAUUUGCCACAAGACGAGCUUGCGGAGGCGGGGCUCUCCGAUGAAGACAUCUUCAAAGGAGUCGUCACCGACAAGUGGAGGAAAUUCAUGAAGAGGCAGAUCAAGAGGGCGAGGAUGUUCUUCGAGGAGGCGGAGCGAGGGGUGACUGAGCUUAGGAAGGAGAGCCGGUGGCCGGUUUGGGCCUCUCUGUUGUUGUACCGGCAGAUCCUCGAUGAGAUCGAAGCGAAUGACUACAACAACUUCACCAAGAGGGCCUAUGUUGGGAAGGCGAAGAAGGUGCUUGCGCUCCCUGUCGCGUACGGGAGAUCGCUGCUCUUACCGUAUUCACUGAGAAAUAACCAGACCUAGAAGAAACAACAAAGCAAGAUGAAGAUGGUCAGGUUAGGCUAGAUAGAAAGAAACAGGGCGGUGUCGCGACAUCUGCCUUUGAGCUCCUCAUCCGGUUAGUUGGAUAGUCAAUGCGGCGAAUCGGCACAUUCCUCUGCAAUCAAUGUUGAAUGCAUGACACGAAGGGCUGGGGAAGGAAGGGAGAAGAACACUGCAGCCAUCCUCGAUGGAGACCGAAUGUUUACAUGUAUAUUAUUAUUGCUAGAACAUGUGCGUUUGACGACAGAACAAGAUGUAUAUAUAUACUCGUUGUCGGUCCUGAAUUUGGGAAACAGGUAUGUUAUUCUGUAAGCGUAUAUAUUCGAACAAUAUGGUUUGGAUUACAAAACUGAGAAAAUAUGACGCUGUUUCUAAACUU
Molecule: ribosomal RNA, 2279 nt
Filed under: Triticum aestivum (bread wheat)
Lineage: Eukaryota; Viridiplantae; Streptophyta; Magnoliopsida; Poales; Poaceae
Description: partial small subunit ribosomal RNA
Source: RNAcentral